GCUAUGCGUAAAACGUGCGGGAUGAGAACCUGCUGGCAGGUUCGACUGAAUCGCAAAGCGGUUCAGGCUGAUGCGCCAGCAUCACCCGAAGGGUGAGGCCCGGACGGGAGAAACCCUGUCCAACUUCCCU
This 130-nucleotide small RNA is filed under the name Pantoea allii. Its description in RNAcentral is "RtT sRNA". It matches the Rfam family "RtT RNA". From Rfam's summary of the family: This family represents a bacterial cis-regulatory element known as RtT RNA. The exact function of RtT is unknown although it is thought that it may be involved in changing the cellular response in relation to amino acid starvation. The record is from RNAcentral. Lineage: Bacteria; Pseudomonadati; Pseudomonadota; Gammaproteobacteria; Enterobacterales; Erwiniaceae. RNAcentral also lists the same sequence under 1 other name.